GUAACACCAAUGCAACAAUUAGUGAUUACUUUACGUCUUUAUGCAACGAAUGGUUUUUUUAAUAACAAUGGGGGACUAUGGCGGAAUGGACAAAUCAACUGUAUCACGAAUAAUUGUUAGAGUGUCUAAAGCUAUAGCUUCUUUGGCACACAUUUAUAUAAAGUUACCACAAACACAAGAAGAAAUUUCACAAGCUCAAAGAAAUUUUUACAAUAUUGCUGCAUUUCCAAGAGUAAUUGGUGCUAUUGAUUGAUACACAUGUAAAAAUACAAUCUCCAGGUGGUGAUGAUGCAGAAAUAUUUCGAAAUAGAAAAUCGUACUUUUCAUUAAAUGUACAAGUUGUGGCCAAUGCUAAUAAAGAAAUAAUUGACAUCGUAGCUCGAUGGCCAAGUUCAGUUCACGAUUCAACAAUUUUUCAGAACAAUAAUUUAAGAAUGCUAUUUAAAACACGUCAUUUUCACAACUGCUUAUUAUUGGGUGAUAGUGCAUAUCCUGCAAAACCUUAUUUAUUUAUUCGUUAUUAAACCCUGAAAGUCGUGCCCAACAAUUAUAUAACGAGUCACAAAUUCGAACAAGAACCGUACUAGAACACACAUUUGGUAUUUGGAAAUGUAGAUUUCCAAUAUCAGCAUAUGGAAGUCGUUUAAAGAUCAGAACGGUAAUGACAAUAAUAAUAGCAACUGCUGUAUUGCAUAAUAAAGCACAACGUCGAAGGGAAGACAUGCCUCCUACUGAUGAUGAAGAUGCAAAUAUUUUAG
Long non-coding RNA from Harpegnathos saltator (Jerdon's jumping ant), 758 nucleotides. RefSeq lists it as uncharacterized. NCBI's taxonomy places the organism in Eukaryota, Metazoa, Arthropoda, Insecta, Hymenoptera, Formicidae. The record is from RefSeq and is a predicted model, not a curated record. The transcript is spliced from 3 exons.